GACGAACGCUGGCGGCGUGCCUAAUACAUGCAAGUAGGACGCAGUUGCGAACGGGUGAGUAACGCGUAGGUAACUACCUAUUAGAGGGGGAUAACUAUUGGAAACGAUAGCUAAUACCGCAUACCAGUAGUUGGACCUGCGUUGUAUUAUCUAGUAGGUCGGGUACUGGCCUACCUAGGCAACGGUACAUAGCCGAGCUGGGAUGGUGGACGGGCAAACUGGGACUGGAACACGGCCCAGAAUCCGACGGGAGGGAGCUGUAGGGGAUCUUCGGAAAUGGGGGGAAACCUUGCCGAACAACGGCGCGGGAGUGAAGAAGGUUUUCGGGUAGUAAAGCUCUGUUGUUAAGGGAGCGGUACUUGACCAGAAAGGGACGGCUAACUACGUGCCAGCAGCCGCGGUAAUAC
This 407-nucleotide ribosomal RNA is filed under the name uncultured bacterium. Its description in RNAcentral is "partial 16S ribosomal RNA". It matches the Rfam family "Bacterial small subunit ribosomal RNA", at positions 28 to 526 of the family's 1533-position model. The record is from RNAcentral.